RNAcentral lists this unclassified non-coding RNA (215 nucleotides) under fungal sp. RNAcentral describes it as "partial internal transcribed spacer region". The stretch from base 1 to 46 matches the Rfam family "Eukaryotic small subunit ribosomal RNA", at positions 1786 to 1831 of the family's 1831-position model. Lineage: Eukaryota; Fungi. The record is from RNAcentral.
AAGUCGUAACAAGGUUUCCGUAGGUGAACCUGCGGAAGGAUCAUUAAAAUACCGAUAUAUAAAACACUGUUUUGGCACAAAACACACCAACAUCAAUUUUAUUUUAUUAUUAUUAUUAGUUUCUUGUUUUUCACUUUUUAUUAUGUGAAUGAAAGAAAAGCAAAAAAAAAAAAAAAUUACAACCAAAACUUUCAACAACGGAUCUCUUGGUUCUC